GACGAACGCUGACGGCGUGCUUUAGUCAUGCAAGUCGAACGAGAAAGCCCUUCGGGGUUAGUAAAGUGGCGAACGGGUGAGUAACACGUGGGCAAUCUGCCCUUCGUUGGGGGACAACCGGGGGAAACCCCGGCUAAUACCCCGUAAGCUUGUCGGGUCGCAUGGCCUGACAAGGAGAGGUAGCUUCGGCCAUCCGGCGAAGGAGGAGCCCGCGGUACAUUAGCUAGUUGGUGAGGUAAAGGCCCACCAAGGCGACGAUGUAUAGCUGGUCUGAGAGGAAGAUCAGCCACACUGGGACUGAGACACGGCCCAGAGUCCUACGGGAGGCAGCAGUCGGGAAUCUUGCACAAUGGGCGAAAGCCUGAUGCAGCAACGCCGUGUGAGCGACGAAGGCCCUAGGGUCGUAAAGCUCUGUUGUUAGGGACGAAGGGCGAAGGGUUAAUAGCCCUUAGCCUGACGGUACCUUUCGAGGAAGCCCCGGCUAACUACGUGCCAGCCGCCGCCGUAA
This 508-nucleotide ribosomal RNA is filed under the name uncultured bacterium. RNAcentral describes it as "partial 16S ribosomal RNA". It matches the Rfam family "Bacterial small subunit ribosomal RNA", at positions 28 to 523 of the family's 1533-position model. The record is from RNAcentral.